GUGGGGAAUAUUGGACAAUGGGCGAAAGCCUGAUCCAGCCAUGCCGCGUGUGUGAAGAAGGUCUUCGGAUUGUAAAGCACUUUAAGUUGGGAAGAAGGGUAGUAACCUAAUACGUUGCUACUUUGACGUUACCGACAGAAUAAGCACCGGCUAACUUCGUGCCAGCAGCCGCGGUAAUACGAAGGGUGCAAGCGUUAAUCGGAAUUACUGGGCGUAAAGCGCGCGUAGGUGGUUCAGUAAGUUGGAAGUGAAAUCCCCGGGCUCAACCUGGGAACUGCUUUCAAAACUGCUGAGCUAGAGUACGGUAGAGGGUGGUGGAAUUUCCUGUGUAGCAGUGAAAUGCGUAGAUAUAGGAAGGAACACCAGUGGCGAAGGCGACCACCUGGACUGAUACUGACACUGAGGUGCGAAAGCGUGGGGAGCAAACAGGAUUAGAAACCCGUGUAGUCC
This 450-nucleotide ribosomal RNA is filed under the name uncultured bacterium. RNAcentral describes it as "partial 16S ribosomal RNA". It matches the Rfam family "Bacterial small subunit ribosomal RNA", at positions 354 to 796 of the family's 1533-position model. The record is from RNAcentral.